This is a non-coding RNA of Cinara cedri, 228 nucleotides long. The record is from the annotation of a GenBank genome assembly. Lineage: Eukaryota; Metazoa; Arthropoda; Insecta; Hemiptera; Aphididae.
CUUUUGAGUAUUAUUUUUUUCGAAUAAUUUAGCUAGAGUUAGGAGUAAACUUAUUAAUCUGUAAGAAGUGGCUAGAGUCUUUGGUUUAUUUGGUUUUGGUAUUGGUAUUACAGUUGACAAUUUCUUCUGUUUUUUUUUUCAGUUUUUUUACAUUUGAUGAGAAAAUCGAAAAAUGGCCUCCCCUAAAGUACCUCUCAAAAACGAUUUCCUCUUAAAAAAAGGCACUAC